AAGUCACCCCUUAGACUACAACUCCCAAUAAGCACAGCAGAAAAGACACUGUGCUUCAUUUUGUACAAAGGUCAGCAAAUACAACACGCCGAUUGCACUCGCUUGAUCAGCAGCAUGGGUCGGCUUGAUGGGAAGGUCAUACUGCUGUCAGCAGCAGCACAGGGGAUUGGACAAGCAGCUGCUAUAGCUUUUGCAAAAGAAGGAGCCAAAGUCAUUGCUACAGACAUCAAUGAGCCUAAGCUGCAAGAGCUGGAGAAACAUCCAGGUAAAUGACCUACAGUAGUUGUUGGUUCAGCUCUUGCAAGUUUUGGUGUAGAAUGGCUGAAAUCUAACUUGAAGAUAGGGCAAACUUCAAAAGACC
Long non-coding RNA from Neopsephotus bourkii (Bourke's parrot), 361 nucleotides. RefSeq lists it as uncharacterized. The record is from RefSeq and is a predicted model, not a curated record. Lineage: Eukaryota; Metazoa; Chordata; Aves; Psittaciformes; Psittacidae. The transcript has 3 exons.